CAUUUCUCAUUUUCCUAAUUUAUACACACACACACAAAAGUGCAGUGUGCGAUUCUCUCUCAAACCCCAAUGCAUUUCUAGAGAGAGAAAGAGAGAAAGCGGAAAACACACCAUUACACACUGCGCCCUUUUCGCUACAAAUCACGACGGAGCAAUGAAAGUGUGUACUGGUAACUGUAGUAUCGUGGAAAGCGACGGUAAUAUUAUUAAUUAUGGUGAUAAAAAUGGUGGCGCCGGAGAAGAAGUGGGCGGCGGUGGAAGGGUGGUGGCCGUGGUGGGAGUGAAGUUAGAUUCCAGGAGUAAAGAGUUGCUGACGUGGGCUUUGGUUAAGGUCGCUCAGCCUGGAGAUCAUGUUGUUGCUGUUCAUGUUCUCGAUCCAAAUACUACUGAAAAACCAGAGCCUAUUGCAUUGGUGAAGACAUUUGACUCGAUGCUGGCUGCUUAUGAAGGCUUCUGCAAUUUAAAGCAGGUGCAUUUGAAGCUUAAAGUCUGUCGAGGAUCACCAGUUCGUAAAGUUCUUGCUCGUGAAGCAAAGUUGGAGAGUGCUACAAAUUUGAUUGUUGGGACUUCAGGCAACCAUCAUACCAUCCGGUCAUCAGUGUCAAUUGCAAAGUACUGUGCUAGGAAAGUGGCAAAGAGCAUCUCAGUUAUUGCUGUUGACAAUGGCAAAAUCGUCUAUCAAAGGGCCGCAGGUGCUUCAUCAGUUGGAGAUGAGUCUAGUGACUCAGAUGUGCCCGAAUCAAGAUUCAAGAGAAGGAAGACAUUGAGAAAAAGUCCUUUGAGCUUAACACCUAAAAGAGCUGCGGAAAAAGACUCGUGUCCUGAGAACAAUGCUAUGGCUUUGGUGCCUGUUAGGAGUGUUGAAGUCCAUCAAUCAAAGUCUCGGUGGGCGCUGCUUCGACGAGUGUUUCUUCACAACAUAGUGGCAUCUGAAAAAUCUCCUACGAAAAGGUCAUCUAUGAUGCAAUGGGUUUGGAAACGACCAAGUCGGCAAUCUUUUGCAGCUAUCUACCCUGAUCAUAAACAGAGUGUAUCUGACAAGGAUGAGCCUCAUCGUACAAAGUUGGAUGAAGAGAAGGGAGCAAUUAUUCCUUUUGGAAGUAAUGCUAGUGCUCUUUCAGAUGAGUGCUUCAUUAUCCUUCCUGAGGAACUGGAGGGUCUUACUGAGAGGUACUCGUCUAUUUGCAGAUUGUUUAGCUACCAGGAGCUUUGUUCAGCAACUUCUAGUUUCCUUCCUGAAAAUUUGAUUGGAAAGGGAGGCAGCAGUAAGGUUUACAAAGGGUGCCUUCCAGACGGCAAGCAACUUGCUGUAAAAAUAUUGAAGCCAUCAGAAGUUGUGGCAAAGCAAUUUCUUUCGGAGAUUGAAAUAAUUACGACUCUGCACCACAAGCACAUUAUUUCACUGUUUGGAUUUUGUUUAGAGGAGAAAAACCUUCUGCUGGUUUAUGAUCUGUUAUCCAGAGGAAGCUUAGAAGAGAAUCUCCAUGGUUCUGAAAAGGAUCAAAAUUCACUUAGCUGGGAAGAUAGGUACAAGGUUGCUUUGGGUGUUGCUGAGGCACUGGACCACCUACACAAUGCAGCUGAUGGCCCCAUAAUUCAUAGGGAUGUGAAAUCUUCAAACAUUCUCCUGUCUGAUGAUUUUGUGCCACAGCUUUCAGAUUUUGGACUUGCAACAUUGGCCUCAAGUUGUUCAUACCAUUUAGAUAGCGCUGAUGUUGCUGGAACAUUUGGCUACUUGGCUCCAGAGUACUUUAUGCAAGGAAAGAUAACUGAAAAGAUUGAUGUCUAUGCAUUUGGUGUUGUUCUCCUUGAGCUUUUGUCUGGUAAAAAGCCAAUUGAUAAUGGAAACGGGAAAGGUCAGGAAAGCUUAGUCAUGUGGGCGAAACAAGCUCUGAAGGGUGGGGAAAUAAGGGAGUUGCUAGAUCCUAGCUUGAUAGACGCAUAUGACCAUGAUCAAUUCGAGAGAAUGGUCCUAGCUGCAUCACUUUGCAUCAGACGAGCUCCUGGAUUUAGACCUCAAAUUGACAUCGUGGUGAAACUCCUCCAAGGUGAGGUAGAAACAAUUAAGUGGGCGAGGGAAGAAGGCAAAGCUUCAGAGGAAGUAGAUGCUGUUGAUGGUGAACAACCAGCGUCAAACAUACAAUCCUUUAUUAAUCUUGCAUUGAUGAAUCUGGAGGAUGAGUCCUCACUUUCCUGUAACAGCACAGGACCAACCAUUUCCGUGGAGGAUUAUUUGCAAGGGAGGUUUAGUCGCUCUUCAAGUUUCGACUAGCCAUUCCUAUGAUAGGUUUCUAUGGCUAUAUCAAGUAGCCUUUCUUUUGUAAAUACUGAGGUUCCCUUCUUCAUUGAUUGCCCCAUUGCUGGGUCCUGGUACGAGAGGUUUUCAGCUAUUGACCUCCUCCUUCCCUGCCUGGGCUGAUUUUUUCCACAGUUUUUUUUCCAGUGUAGUAACAAUGCUGUCAAAAGUUGGUAAGUUAUCUGAAUGAGCAAAUGAUCAGCAGAUGCCCGCAGGUCACUGCAAAUAUAUAAUGACUCGGAUGACUCGGAUUUUAGAGUGACAGUGAAGACCUUACGCUUAUACUAUCACACGCGAAAAAUUUACAAAUGGCCAAGGACAGGAGUUGAAGUGAGUGCUUCAGCUGGAUAAGCUUCGGCGCUCUCAACCUGGUUUGAAUCGUUUGACUAUGACUCCGCAUUCUUUACAAUCAUAAGCUCGAUCAUGAGGGUCCAAAUCAGGGUCUCCAUCUCGCCUUAUUUAUUAACUAAGUUCGGGAAAAUAAAAAUUUGCAUAAGUUAUAGGUAUAGCUCAGGAGAUGAGAUUGGAUCUGCAUCAUCUAGAACUAAAGAAGCUUCGGGUUCUCCUUCCCCAUUUCAGGUUUUAGAAGAGUUAGUUUCGCACAGGGCACCUUUACUAAUUUUCCCCUUUCUUUUAUGGCUUGCUGGCUGGAUUAGCUAGCUUCAAGGCGCUUUGCCUGGUCAAUCAAAUUUAGCCACAUAAUCAAAGGUCAACUAUAUUUAACCACUAAGUAAGCACGUUAACAAUUUGUUGACUAAAAUACCCCUACUCUCUUUAUAAAAUUUACGCGACUUGAUUUCA
This is an RNA transcript of Nicotiana attenuata, 3097 nucleotides long. It is a transcript of the gene named protein STRUBBELIG-RECEPTOR FAMILY 6-like, with no coding region annotated. The transcript has 10 exons. NCBI's taxonomy places the organism in Eukaryota, Viridiplantae, Streptophyta, Magnoliopsida, Solanales, Solanaceae. The record is from RefSeq and is a predicted model, not a curated record.